AGAGAGAGAGAGAGAGAGAGAGAGAGAGAGAGAAGAAUAUGCUCCCGGCUAUUGUCUGGCUAUCAGGACGUCUUUUUAUUUCAUCCUCCAAGGAAGGUCCCCGAAAUGCAGGAUACCAACCGGUCAGGUGCACCAGGUCUAGGGGCGAAGUUGAAGAGCUAGGUUGCUACCUGCCGACGCAUGCGCGUUGGCCUAAGGAAUUCACUCUGCCAGCUCCAGUCCCAGCACCUCUCUGAGCUGACCUGGGAAGUGAUGGAUUUAUAGCCACGGCAAUCUCACCAUCAGCUCCAGCUUUUCCCAACAGCCCUAACCCGCUUUCCCGGUCAGUCCCUGGCCAGUGAACCGAAGCCAGGGACUGGCUGCUGAAGGUUGCUGAGUCCCACGCGGGUGUGAGCGUGUGUUUGAGCACUCGUGUAGUGGGGACAUCUGCAAGCUCAUUCCACCGGUUUCCUCGCCCCCCCCCCGAACUUUUGGGUUAGAAGUGGGGGAGGGGCUGGGGGGGUGGCUGGGCCAGAUCUGGAGAAAGGGCCGAUGGAGAGUCCGGGCGCACCUGGACGCUAGCGGUGGGACAGGGCCCCCGCCCCCUCCUCCUCACCCGCCCACGAUCUUCAAGGCACUGCCAGCUUUAGCGGAUCUGAUUGCCACCCCCAGGGCGGCCUCAGCUGUGGAUUCCAGAUCAAGUGUUGCUCAAUAGGUGAAGAUAUUCGCAAUUCUGCUUUACUUGUGUCUCCGAAAUUCAGUCCCCUUCCAUGGGCAGAGGGUUGGGGGUGAGGGGACUACAAACACACACGUGCUCUUUCACGUUGGAAUAUUAACACUUAAGUAUAAAGCCCACCAACAACCCACGUUCACGGUUCCUGCCCCCCUUCCCCCA
This 874-nucleotide long non-coding RNA is filed under the name Mus musculus (house mouse). RNAcentral's name for it is "predicted gene, 47067". The record is from RNAcentral. Lineage: Eukaryota; Metazoa; Chordata; Mammalia; Rodentia; Muridae.